This 21-nucleotide ribosomal RNA is filed under the name Ulvales sp. 6-BER-2008. RNAcentral's name for it is "partial 5.8S ribosomal RNA". Lineage: Eukaryota; Viridiplantae; Chlorophyta; Ulvophyceae; Ulvales. The record is from RNAcentral.
ACACCUGCCUCAGCGUCGGUG